UUUGACCUCAAAUCAGGUAGGAUUACCCGCUGAACUUAAGCAUAUCAAU
This 49-nucleotide ribosomal RNA is filed under the name [Candida] boidinii. RNAcentral's name for it is "partial 26S ribosomal RNA". The record is from RNAcentral. RNAcentral also lists the same sequence under 7 other names. Lineage: Eukaryota; Fungi; Ascomycota; Pichiomycetes; Pichiales; Pichiaceae.